AAAAGUUACAAAAUUUCACGCUUUAUAAGUUGCUCUCCCAAAUGAGUAUCUUUUCUUAAAAUAUGGUGUAGUGUAUAAAUAAGGUUAGCAGAAAAUCUGACUAAAAACAUGUAGAAAAAUGUAGGCUUUGCGAGUUGUUUGAUAGGUGGUCGUCUAUGGCUCCUUGGUGGCUUCUCUGUGUGCUUCUUCAUUUUGCAACUCCUCUACGUUUCUUUCUCUCUCGUAAACUUCGGGCAAAGGCGACGGCUUUCCUGUUCGGAGUGGUACCUCUUGUCAUCAUUGUUGUUCUGUCUCCCUCGACUCCGGAGAUUGUUUUCUUACGGCGCAGAAUAUGACUCUUCGGUUCUCGAAGACACAAGAGAUGUGACGGUUCUGCAGUGCAGUCAUUGAUCGCCAUGGAGGUCGCUCUUGGUCAUAGCUUACAUCCCAGCACCUUGCGGGCUCACUUGAUCUUGCGAGGUGGUGUAGUUAGACUUUUCUGUGCAGGUUUCGAGGCUUAUGGGUCAGGAAGUAGCGAUGAAUCAACCCAUUUUUUGCAAGUGUUCGAUGCGGACUUCGCAGGUGUCUGCUUGGUUCGGUGUUUACCUUCUGCUCGCAGGAGUUCAACGUCUUUGUAGCUGGUACCUGUCUGUCCGUGGCGCCUUUAGUGAGGAUGUACAGGUCUUGUUACGGUGGCCCGACUUCAGGUAUGGCUGUUCGUAACUCCCUCUUCAAUUGGUCGCCUUGCGCUUAUCAGACGAUGGAGAUUAUAGGCUUUGAGGAGAUUCCGAGACCCAGCUACCUCAGGCGUCGCUCCGAGAAUUCCAACAUCCGAAAAAAUGAGGUGAAACCCACAUUUUUCGGGAUUUAAUGGCAUCGGUUGAGAACGGGAAUCGGUUAUCUAGAAAUUUUGGAAUUGAUUAGCGGAAUGUGUCGGUUUAGAUGGUUGAUGCGAAGCUGGUUAAUGAUAUUUGAUUCUGGUUAAACUUUUGGUCAAAUCGAGUCUGUAAUUGAAUUGUAUCUCCGGUUACGGGUUUUUCAAAUUUAUAAUAUAAUUUUC
This 1039-nucleotide long non-coding RNA is filed under the name Brassica napus (rape). RNAcentral describes it as "long non-coding RNA (BNAP_LNC007503)". Lineage: Eukaryota; Viridiplantae; Streptophyta; Magnoliopsida; Brassicales; Brassicaceae. The record is from RNAcentral.